UCCUACUUACCCAAAUUCACCAGUUCAGGUC
This 31-nucleotide non-coding RNA is filed under the name Homo sapiens (human). The record is from RNAcentral. Lineage: Eukaryota; Metazoa; Chordata; Mammalia; Primates; Hominidae.